Molecule: long non-coding RNA, 724 nt
Filed under: Olea europaea subsp. europaea
Lineage: Eukaryota; Viridiplantae; Streptophyta; Magnoliopsida; Lamiales; Oleaceae
Source: RNAcentral
GCUGAAUUGAUAAAGUCGGCAGCUGCUAGUGGGAGAUUAAUUGUGGCGGCAAGUGUUGAUUUUCACAUAUAUAUACCAACAGAAAUUAGAAAACUGGAGUGGUGGAAUUAAUAAUAAAACCAGAUGCUGGGAAUUAAUUGUUGGGUCGCAAAGUGAGUUGAAUUAUAUAUUUGUACAUCUGACGGAAACGUCUCACGCAUGGGAAAGAGAAAAGCUCGGGAAUUGCUUGCUGGAAUUCAAUUGGAAAUAAAAUACAAGGUGGUGGCCGGGAGAUAUAUAUAUUACACACAUGCUGCCGACAGGAAAGAGAGGACAGACAGAGGCAUAUAAGUGGCGGUUGGAAUUGGACUUCUGAAGGAACAAAUUCGACAGCUGCUGUAGAGAAAAUAGAGACAUUUACAAGACACUGAAAGACGGCAAACACAAUUGGAAUAACCGUCAAUUAUUGGUGAUGUCGUUUCACUUCUCUUUGUUUAAUUUUAACAUUAUGCUCGGCUAGAUUAUUUUGUGCUAGGAUUUGUGAUGAACCUUAUAUUAUGAACUCUUAAUCUUGAAUUUUAUUUAUUUGACGUUAAAACAUGUUUUUAAUUAUUGAAUGAUUGGCAUGGAUUUUAUUUUCUCUACAAUUAUGUGCGCAAUAGUUGUAUGAGAUUUGUGGCUUGUUUUACCCUCGAGAGAUGGAAAAUAAGUUAGGCAUUAUGUUAAUUGUCGUAAAGUUCGAUAG